RNAcentral lists this ribosomal RNA (253 nucleotides) under uncultured bacterium. Its description in RNAcentral is "partial 16S ribosomal RNA". It matches the Rfam family "Bacterial small subunit ribosomal RNA", at positions 524 to 776 of the family's 1533-position model. The record is from RNAcentral.
UACGGGGGGGGCAAGCGUUGUUCGGAAUUACUGGGAGUAAAGGGCUCGUAGGCGGCCAACUAAGUCGGACGUGAAAUCCCUCGGCUUAACCGGGGAACUGCGUCCGAUACUGGAUGGCUUGAGUUUGGGAGAGGGAUGCGGAAUUCCAGGUGUAGCGGUGAAAUGCGCAGAUAUCAGGAAGAACACCUAUGGCGAAGGCAGCUCUCUGGGACGGUACUGACGCUGAGACGCGAAAGCGUGGGGAGCGAACAGG